GACUUGACAUCUCCUGAAUUACUCUUAAUCGAGGAAGUCCCUUCGGGGACAGGAAGACAGGUGGUGCAUGGUUGUCGUCAGCUCGUGUCGUGAGAUGUUGGGUUAAGUCCCGCAACGAGCGCAACCCUUAUUGUUAGUUGCUACUAUUAAGUUAAGCACUCUAACGAGACUGCCGCGGUUAACGUGGAGGAAGGUGGGGAUGACGUCAAAUCAUCAUGCCCCUUAUGUCUAGGGCUACACACGUGCUACAAUGGCUGGUACAACGAGCAGCAAACCCGCGAGGGGGAGCAAAACUUGAAAGCCAGUCCCAGUUCGGAUUGUAGGCUGAAACUCGCCUACAUGAAGUUGGAGUUGCUAGUAAUCGCGAAUCAGCAUGUCGCGGUGAAUACGUUCCCGGGUCUUGUACACACCGCCCGUCACACCAUGAGAGCCGGUAACACCCGAAGCCCGUGAGGUAACCGUAAGGAGCCAGCGGUCGAAGGUGGGAUUGGUGAUUGGGGUGAAGUCGUAACAAGGUAGCCGUAGGAGAACCUGCGGCUGGAUCCCCUCCUUUCUAGGGA
Molecule: ribosomal RNA, 560 nt
Filed under: Clostridium botulinum C
Lineage: Bacteria; Bacillati; Bacillota; Clostridia; Eubacteriales; Clostridiaceae
Description: bacterial SSU rRNA
Rfam family: Bacterial small subunit ribosomal RNA
Source: RNAcentral